This 465-nucleotide ribosomal RNA is filed under the name uncultured bacterium. RNAcentral describes it as "partial 16S ribosomal RNA". It matches the Rfam family "Bacterial small subunit ribosomal RNA", at positions 338 to 795 of the family's 1533-position model. The record is from RNAcentral.
CCUACGGGAGGCAGCAGUAGGGAAUCUUCCACAAUGGACGAAAGUCUGAUGGAGCAACGCCGCGUGAGUGAAGAAGGGUUUCGGCUCGUAAAGCUCUGUUGGUAGUGAAGAAAGAUAGAGGGAGUAACUGGCAUUUAUUUGACGGUAAUUACUUCGAAAGUCACGGCUAACUACGGACCAGCAGCCGCGGUAAUACGUAGGUGGCCAGCGUUGUCCGGAUUUAUUGGGCGUAAAGCGAGUGCAGGAGGUUCAAUAAGUCCGAUUUGAAAGCCUUCGGCUCAACCGGAGAAUUGCAUCAGAAACUGUUGAACUUGAGUGCAGAAGAGGAGAGUGGAACUCCAUGUGUAGCGGUGGAAUGCGUAGAUAUAUGGAAGACCACCAGUUGCGAAGGCGGCUCUCUGGUCUGCAACUGACGCUGAGGCUCGAAAGCAUGGGUAGCGAACAGGAUUAGAUACCCUAGUAGUC